Molecule: ribosomal RNA, 588 nt
Filed under: Riemerella anatipestifer
Lineage: Bacteria; Pseudomonadati; Bacteroidota; Flavobacteriia; Flavobacteriales; Weeksellaceae
Description: bacterial SSU rRNA
Rfam family: Bacterial small subunit ribosomal RNA
Source: RNAcentral
AGUAGUGUAGCGGUGAAAUGCAUAGAUAUUACUCAGAACACCGAUUGCGAAGGCAGGUUACCAAGUUAUAACUGACGCUGAGGGACGAAAGCGUGGGGAGCGAACAGGAUUAGAUACCCUGGUAGUCCACGCCGUAAACGAUGCUAACUCGUUUUUGGGCUAUAUGGUUCAGAGACUAAGCGAAAGUGAUAAGUUAGCCACCUGGGGAGUACGACCGCAAGGUUGAAACUCAAAGGAAUUGACGGGGGCCCGCACAAGCGGUGGAUCAUGUGGUUUAAUUCGAUGAUACGCGAGGAACCUUACCAAGGCUUAAAUGGGAAUUGACAGCUGUAGAAAUACGGUUUUCUUCGGACAAUUUUCAAGGUGCUGCAUGGUUGUCGUCAGCUCGUGCCGUGAGGUGUUAGGUUAAGUCCUGCAACGAGCGCAACCCCUGUCACUAGUUGCCAUCAUUAAGUUGGGGACUCUAGUGAGACUGCCUACGCAAGUAGAGAGGAAGGUGGGGAUGACGUCAAAUCAUCACGGCCCUUACGCCUUGGGCCACACACGUGAUACAAUGGCCGGUACAGAGGGCAGCUACACUGCGAAGUG